GUCUAUAACCAUAUCACCUUGAAACUGCCUGAUCUCCUCUACUCUUGGAAGCUAAGCAAGGUUGGGCCUGGUUAUUACUUGGAUGGAAGACUGCACCCAAAAAUUCUGACAUGGGGCU
RNAcentral lists this ribosomal RNA (118 nucleotides) under Castor canadensis (American beaver). Lineage: Eukaryota; Metazoa; Chordata; Mammalia; Rodentia; Castoridae. The record is from RNAcentral.